GAUGAACGCUGGCGGCGUGCCUAAUACAUGCAAGUCGAGCGAACGGACGAGAAGCUUGCUUCUCUGAUGUUAGCGGCGGACGGGUGAGUAACACGUGGAUAACCUACCUAUAAGACUGGGAUAACUUCGGGAAACCGGAGCUAAUACCGGAUGAUAUUUUGAACCGCAUGGUUCAAAAGUGAAAGACGGUCUUGCUGUCACUUAUAGAUGGAUCCGCGCUGCAUUAGCUAGUUGGUAAGGUAACGGCUUACCAAGGCAACGAUGCAUAGCCGACCUGAGAGGGUGAUCGGCCACUCGGGAGCGAGGACACGCACCAACCCCCGACGGGAGGCACGAGUAGGAAUCUUACGCGAUGGGCGAAAGCCUGACGGAGCAACGCCGCGUGAGUGAUGAAGGUCUUCGGAUCGUAAAACUCUGUUAUUAGGGAAGAACAUAUGUGUAAGUAACUGUGCACAUCUUGACGGUACCUAAUCAGAAAGCCACGGCUAACUACGUG
This 496-nucleotide ribosomal RNA is filed under the name uncultured bacterium. RNAcentral describes it as "partial 16S ribosomal RNA". It matches the Rfam family "Bacterial small subunit ribosomal RNA", at positions 28 to 507 of the family's 1533-position model. The record is from RNAcentral.